RNAcentral lists this ribosomal RNA (402 nucleotides) under Bacteroidota bacterium. RNAcentral's name for it is "Bacteroidetes bacterium partial 16S ribosomal RNA". It matches the Rfam family "Bacterial small subunit ribosomal RNA", at positions 355 to 776 of the family's 1533-position model. The record is from RNAcentral. Lineage: Bacteria; Pseudomonadati; Bacteroidota.
UGGGGAAUUUUGCACAAUGGGGGAAACCCUGAUGCAGCGACGCCGCGUGAUUUAGAAGGCCUUCGGGUUGUAAAAUUCUUUUCUAUGGGAAGAAAAUGACAGUACCAUAGGAGUAAGGACCGGCUAAUUACGUGCCAGCAGCCGCGGUAAUACGUAAGGUCCGAGCGUUGUCCGGAAUCAUUGGGCGUAAAGGGUACGUAGGCGGGUAAGCAAGUUAGAAGUGAAAUCCUGUAGCUCAACUACAGUAAGCUUUUAAAACUGCUCAUCAUGAGAUAUGGAAGGGAAAGUGGAAUUCCAAGUGUAGCGGUGAAAUGCGCAGAUAUUAGGAGGAAUACCGAUGGCGAAUGCGACUUUCUGGCCAUAAUCUGACGCUGAGGUACGAAAGCGUGGGUAGCAGACAGG